GCUGGCGGCAUGCUUAACACAUGCAAGUCGAACGGUAACAGGCCCUUCGGGGUGCUGACGAGUGGCGGACGGGUGAGUAAUGCUUAGGAAUCUACCUAGUAGUGGGGGACAACCCGGGGAAACUCGGGCUAAUACCGCGUACGCUCUACGGAGGAAAGCGGGGGCUCUUCGGACCUCGCGCUAUUAGAUGAGCCUAAGUCGGAUUAUCUUGUUGGUGGGGUAAAGGCCUACCAAGGCGACGAUCCGUAGCUGGUCUGAGAGGACGAUCAGCCACACUGGGACUGAGACACGGCCCAGACUCCUACGGGAGGCAGCAGUGGGGAAUAUUGGACAAUGGGCGCAAGCCUGAUCCAGCAAUGCCGCGUGUGUGAAGAAGGCCUGCGGGUUGUAAAGCACUUUCAGUAGGGAAGAAAAGCCUAGGGUUAAUACCCCUGAGUCUUGACGUUACCUACAGAAGAAGCACCGGCUAACUCCGUGCCAGCAGCCCGCGGUAAUACGGAGGGUGCAAGCGUUAAUCGGAAUUACUGGGCGUAAAGGGCACGCAGGUGGCUUGGUUA
This 557-nucleotide ribosomal RNA is filed under the name uncultured Ectothiorhodospiraceae bacterium. Its description in RNAcentral is "bacterial SSU rRNA". It matches the Rfam family "Bacterial small subunit ribosomal RNA", at positions 35 to 586 of the family's 1533-position model. The record is from RNAcentral. Lineage: Bacteria; Pseudomonadati; Pseudomonadota; Gammaproteobacteria; Chromatiales; Ectothiorhodospiraceae.